This 425-nucleotide ribosomal RNA is filed under the name uncultured Alphaproteobacteria bacterium. Its description in RNAcentral is "bacterial SSU rRNA". It matches the Rfam family "Bacterial small subunit ribosomal RNA", at positions 8 to 451 of the family's 1533-position model. Lineage: Bacteria; Pseudomonadati; Pseudomonadota; Alphaproteobacteria. The record is from RNAcentral.
AGAGUUUGAUCCUGGCUCAGAACGAACGCUGGCGGCAGGCCUAACACAUGCAAGUCGAACGAGAAGCCACCUUCGGGUGGUGGAUAGUGGCAGACGGGUGAGUAACGCGUGGGAACGUGCCUUUCGGUUCGGGAUAACCCAGGGAAACUUGGGCUAAUACCGGAUACGCCCUCCGGGGGAAAGAUACAUUGCCGAAAGAUCGGCCCGCGUCGGAUUAGCUAGUUGGUGGGGUAAAAGCCUACCAAGGCGACGAUCCGUAGCUGGUCUGAGAGGAUGACCAGCCACACUGGGACUGAGACACGGCCCAGACUCCUACGGGAGGCAGCAGUGGGGAAUAUUGGACAAUGGGCGCAAGCCUGAUCCAGCCAUGCCGCGUGGGUGAAGAAGGCCCUAGGGUUGUAAACCCCUUUCAGCGGGGAAGAUAA